AUUGAAUGCUGGCGGCAUGCCUUACACAUGCAAGUCGAACGGCAGCACGGGUGCUUGCACCUGGUGGCGAGUGGCGAACGGGUGAGUAAUACAUCGGAACGUACCUUAUCGUGGGGGAUAACGCAGCGAAAGCUGUGCUAAUACCGCAUACGCCCUGAGGGGGAAAGCGGGGGAUCGAAAGACCUCGCGCGAUUAGAGCGGCCGAUGCCUGAUUAGCUUGUUGGUGGGGUAAAAGCCCACCAAGGCGACGAUCAGUAGCUGGUCUGAGAGGACGAUCAGCCACACUGGGACUGAGGCACGGCCCAGACUCCUACGGGAGGCAGCAGUGGAGAAUUUUGGACAAUGGGGGCAACCCUGAUCCAGCAAUGCCGCGUGAGUGAAGAAGGCCUUCGGGCUGUAAAGCUCUUUUGUCAGGGAAGAAACACCGGCUCUAACACAGUCCGGGAAUGACGGUACCUGAAGAAUAAGCACCGGCUAACUACGUGCCAGCCGCCGAGUAA
This 500-nucleotide ribosomal RNA is filed under the name uncultured bacterium. RNAcentral's name for it is "partial 16S ribosomal RNA". It matches the Rfam family "Bacterial small subunit ribosomal RNA", at positions 29 to 523 of the family's 1533-position model. The record is from RNAcentral.